Molecule: long non-coding RNA, 344 nt
Filed under: Mus pahari (shrew mouse)
Lineage: Eukaryota; Metazoa; Chordata; Mammalia; Rodentia; Muridae
Description: predicted gene 11626 (MGP_PahariEiJ_G0002622.1)
Source: RNAcentral
AUUGGGAAACCUUAUGACCUCCCCUCAGAGCCUCCCUCAGACCUUCCCACACACCAAGGCUAACCUUUGGGGUCCUCAAAGGUGACCAGAGCAGAACCUUCAGGCAGAGGACAGCAGACCUUUAAGUUAGAAACUAGAAACUUGGGCACUUGCCUGCCCUGCUUAGUGUGGCCUUGGAAUACCAGAGGAACUUCAGGCACCGGGAAUGGAAUCUGGAGGUUGGGAGAGGGAGGAAUACCUCCGUUCCCAUCUGACCUCAGCUCUGGAAGAGCCUAUGCACUCCCUUUUGAGCUGCUGCAGCUCCUGCAGCCUCAUCUUGAGCCUGGCUUGCUCCUCCUGAAGAC